GGUAGGCAGGCUAUUCCAUAGGAAGGGAGCCGCCCGCUAGAAGUCCUGCAAGCGUGAGUUGGCCGUACGGGUGCGGACAAUGGACAGGAGGUGGUCACGGGCAGAGCGGAGAGACUGAGAAGGGACAUACCUAUGGAUCUGUGAGGAGAUAUAAGAGGGACUAGAGUUGUUCAGAGCUUUAUAGGUGUGAGUUAGUACCUUGAAU
Non-coding RNA from Pelobates cultripes (western spadefoot toad), 205 nucleotides. NCBI's taxonomy places the organism in Eukaryota, Metazoa, Chordata, Amphibia, Anura, Pelobatidae. The record is from the annotation of a GenBank genome assembly.